Long non-coding RNA from Pecten maximus, 1701 nucleotides. RefSeq lists it as uncharacterized. The transcript is spliced from 3 exons. NCBI's taxonomy places the organism in Eukaryota, Metazoa, Mollusca, Bivalvia, Pectinida, Pectinidae. The record is from RefSeq and is a predicted model, not a curated record.
AACUUAGUUAGUCAAGUCCCUGUUGAAGUCCGUCAAACUGUACGCUACGAAUCAUCCCUAUCAGUUUGACAAAUCCUCUUGGUCAGUUAAUCAGAUAACCCCACUUCCGAUCUCCAGUGAUGUAACACUUCCCGCCACUAAACAGCAUCUCUUUGUGUGAUCAUAUUUCACAAGGAGUGACCGCUACUACGUAUACGCGCGCAGUCUUUUCAAUAGAUCAGCACACCCCUCUCUAAAGGAAGCUUAUUUCGUCGACGAAGUAUACAAUUAGUAAAAAGAAGUGCCUGCUUACGAGGAAUUCCAUAUAUUUUCAAGGAAAAGAUGUAUGUUUUGAAAAGUGUUGAAAGUGACAUGCAGGAGGACUAAGCAGGGAUGAAACUGAAGUACCAUGACGUCAUGACAAUCAUGGAUGAUGACUUUUGUGUUGAAAUAGAUGGGGAACAAAUCAUUCAGUGCGAUUCUUUAGUGGAUUUUUUUUUUUGCAGACUUGUCACCAUUAUAUAUGCUUUCAACUAAGCAUAUCCUAGGAAAUGGCCAAACAUUCCUCUUCAUUCAGAAAGUCAUCUUAGGACUACAUGAUGAAUUCGAAGAACUGGACAGAAAGCUCUCGUCGGUGGUGUCCGAAAUAACUAGGGCGAUGAAUGAUGUUUUUUGGACUUUAUAAUAGGCAGAAUAUCAUUUUUAAAGGGAUUCUUGAGCGUUAAAAAAUGCUCAUAUUCAUCUAGAAACUAGAUAACAGUCUGGAAACAGAAAACUUGAUCCUGAAAAGAGAUACAGGUGGUAAUUUUAUUUGAUCCUGAAGUCUCUACAGGUGGUAGGUUUCUGUGAAGGGCUGAGAUUAAUUAUUGCCUUUUGCUAUUUUUAAUUAGCUUAUAUCAAAAAUGAAAACAAAUCACAUUAUUGCAUACAUAAAAUCCUGUGUAUCUUGGAAAAUGAAUGACAUAUUAUUAUGUUAAAUGUUUAUGCUGCUAUGUGUCCCAAGAUGUUGAAAGAGGCACACCUUUGGAAUAAAGUUGAAUUAUCUACAUACCAAAGAAAAUCACAUCUUUUUAUUAUUCAUAGUAAUUUGUAUAUAUUAUAACUAAGAGAUUUUUCAAGACAAACAUUUCAUGAUGAUGAAAUAUUUUCACUAGAUCAAUUAUUAAUUUAUCAGCUGCAACUUUCUUUUUUCGCCUGAUCUUUUACACAAGUGACAGACAUUACUUGGUCAAUAAGGUGAUCUCCCGUGGUUAAUAGUGUAAUAGUUAUUUGUCAAGGUACGAUUUCAAUAAUUUCAUCAGAAUCAGAACUUAUUUAACAUCAGUACUUCGUCAAAGUGACAUUAUUGCUUCGUCAAAGUGACAUUGUUACUUCGUCAAAGUGACAUACUUACUUCGUCAAAGUGACAUCAUUACUUCGUCAAAGUGACAUCAUCACUUCGUCAAAGUGACAUACGUACUUCGUCAAAGUGACAUCAUUACUUCGUCAAAAUGACAUUGUUACUUCGUCAAACUGACAUUGUUACUUCGUCAAAGUGACAUAUGUACUUCGUCAAACUGACAUCAUUACUUCGUCAAAGUGACAUUGUUACUUCGUCAAAGUGACAAGGAUCACAUCGUCAAAGUGACGACUUUGGUUCCUCAACUUUACUAUUUGACCAGUCAUUUUAAGGACAAUCAACUUGACGAAUUAAAUUUGUCAAACUGACAAACUAUUUUUUUC